GAGCAGAGCCAUGGAAACCUGAAGACUUCCCCCUGGGGCUCUGGGGGGCUUCUAACCAGAGAGGUGUCCUGGGGUCGCACCUGUCGGCGCAUGUGUGUGCUUGCCUGGACAGGUCCCGCCCCCCUUCCCUCACACACAUACACCUGAUCAUGUGCUCCAGUGGAACACAGCUUGUUUGGAUAUAAGAUGAAAACUCUGCAGAAGCUGUUAUUUUUAGAAGGCUGCUUAUCUCUCCAGAAUGCCAAUUUUGGCUUGUCAUUCAUCUCAGAGCAAGCAUGGUGCAUACCCAGGGCAAAGCACCCGGUUUUGUGUUUGAAGCAACCUGCAUCUUCAGUGAAGCUCAGGACGUGGCCGACACUGGCAAACUACCUGAACUGACAGCACCCACAUCCCGAUUCAGACCAACUCAACGUGCAUUUAGAGAGUGCCUACUGCGUGCAGGAUCUUCGCUCCGAUCAUUGAGUUCUGUGAUUAAGUCAUACAUGACGUUCUGCAUCUGUUUGGAGAGACAGGGAGACGACAGGUCAUUGCAGAGGAAUCUGCAAUGGGAAAAAUGAAAUACUCCUCCAGAUUACACUUGAAAUACAACUCCUCCAGGGAUCAACUUCCACACCGGCCGUGUCGGAUCUGGCCAAGGACAGAGAAACAGUUUACUUUCUUGAAGACUUGGAGGCUCAAAUGGCACAGGCGGGGACCUUCGCCUGUUGUGUUCACGGAUGUGUCCCAAGGGCUUAAAACAGCAUCUGGCACCCAGGGGAUGCUCAACGAACAUUGUUUGAUGGACAAGUGUACAUAAACAUGCCUAGCAAGGGGGUCUGUCCCACGUGGUCGGCACUAAAAGACGUUGGUAGAACUAAUGAAUGAAUAAAUUGCUGGCACAGGGGAAAAUCACCGUCCCUUCCAUCCUUUGGCCAAUGUAGGAGUUUAACUGAUGGGAAAAGACCUUUUGCGCCACAAAUUAUUUCCAUAUACCUAGAGAGUUUCUCAGCAUUUCCCACCGAGACCUGAGUGGCUGAAGGAAAGGAGAGAAGACUCCCGAGGGGGCCCAGCCCAGGGCCUGCCUCUGGAGAGCAGGUGUUCCGUAAGCUUUUGUGAAUGAACAUUGAACAAGGUCGUGAGAGCAGGGGAGCAAA
Molecule: long non-coding RNA, 1133 nt
Organism: Lagenorhynchus albirostris (white-beaked dolphin)
Lineage: Eukaryota; Metazoa; Chordata; Mammalia; Artiodactyla; Delphinidae
Exons: 4
Source: RefSeq, a predicted model, not a curated record